This 460-nucleotide ribosomal RNA is filed under the name uncultured Pelotomaculum sp. Its description in RNAcentral is "bacterial SSU rRNA". It matches the Rfam family "Bacterial small subunit ribosomal RNA", at positions 924 to 1382 of the family's 1533-position model. The record is from RNAcentral. Lineage: Bacteria; Bacillati; Bacillota; Clostridia; Eubacteriales; Desulfotomaculaceae.
CACAAGCAGUGGAGUAUGUGGUUAAUUCGACGCAACGCGAAGAACCUUACCAGGGCUUGACAUCCCCUGACCGCGUAUCGAAGUACGUUUUCACCUCGGGUGACAGGGAGACAGGUGGUGCAUGGUUGUCGUCAGCUCGUGUCGUGAGAUGUUGGGUUAAGUCCCGCAACCGAGCGCAACCCCUACGUUUAGUUGCUAACGCGUGAAGGCGAGCACUCUAGACGAACUGCCGUUGACAAAACGGAGGAAGGUGGGAUGACGUCAAAUCAUCAUGCCCCUUAUGUUCUGGGCUACACACGUGCUACAAUGGCCGGUACAGACGGACGCAAAGCCGCGAGGUGGAGCAAAUCCUAAAAAGCCGGUACUCAGUUCGGAUUGCAGGCUGCAAUUCGCCUGCAUGAAGUCGGAAUCGCUAGUAAUCGCAGGUCAGCAUACUGCGGUGAAUACGUUCCCGGGCCUU